Non-coding RNA from Sphaerodactylus townsendi, 265 nucleotides. RefSeq annotates it as small Cajal body-specific RNA 6. The transcript has a single exon. NCBI's taxonomy places the organism in Eukaryota, Metazoa, Chordata, Lepidosauria, Squamata, Sphaerodactylidae. The record is from RefSeq and is a predicted model, not a curated record.
GGUCGAUGAUGAACAGUAAAAGGUCUGAUUGCCCAGCUGUUUUGCCUACUGUACCCUCACAACUCCCAGCAUGUUCUCUUCCAUCUUGCUCUAGAAGUGCUGUGAUGGGAUCACUGUUUGCUGACAAGUAGUGAUACAUUCAGCUUGUGUUACCCUAGAGUGUUGGGUCGGCACGGCUGAAAUUGCUGUCCAACAUAAGUAGAUACAGGAGUUUGGGGCAUUGGCUCUGUGCUUGGGUGUCUGAUUUCAAAUUUUUGCUGAGACC